This 391-nucleotide unclassified non-coding RNA is filed under the name soil metagenome. Its description in RNAcentral is "partial contains 5.8S ribosomal RNA, internal transcribed spacer 2, and large subunit ribosomal RNA". The stretch from base 1 to 122 matches the Rfam family "5.8S ribosomal RNA", at positions 35 to 154 of the family's 154-position model. The record is from RNAcentral.
GAUGAAGAACGUAGCGAAAUGCGAUACUUGGUGUGAAUUGCAGAAUCCCGUGAACCAUCGAGUCUUUGAACGCAAGUUGCGCCCGAAGCCAUUAGGCCGAGGGCACGCCUGCCUGGGCGUCACACGUCGUUGCCCCCCCAUCUACUCCUUCGGGAUUGCGGGGGGCGGAUGAUGGCCUCCCGUGCGCCUCGUCGCGCGGUUGGCAUAAAUGCCAAGUCCUCGGCGACGCACGCCACGACAAUCGGUGGUUGCGAAACCUCGGUUGCCCGUCGUGUGCGGUCGUCGCGCAUCGAGGGCUCGAAAAAAUUGUCGGGCUCCGGCUCGGCUUUCAACGCGACCCCACGUCAGGCGGGGUUACCCGCUGAAUUUAAGCAUAUCAAUAAGCGGAGGA